Pelobates cultripes (western spadefoot toad) is the source of this 308-nucleotide non-coding RNA. The record is from the annotation of a GenBank genome assembly. Lineage: Eukaryota; Metazoa; Chordata; Amphibia; Anura; Pelobatidae.
AUGUAUAUAUCUGUUUAAAUUCGUUCUAACUGUAUUUUGGUAUUAAUAUACAUAUAUAUUUAACUCAAAAUACAUUUAGAAUGACGUUAUAAAUACAUAUCAUCUUAACUCCUUAAGGACACAUGACAGAAAUAUUCAGUUGAUUCCCUUUCAUUUCUGAAGUUGUGUCCUUAAGGGGUUAACGACCUUGGACUUACCUGGACCGGUGAUCACGGUCAGGGGGGACUGCCGGAGAACCCAGCAUUCCCCCUGCAGCAGCUUUGGCCCUCCAGGGCCAUUCGAUCACCAUAUACACCUAAAUCUCAAAG